RNAcentral lists this ribosomal RNA (460 nucleotides) under uncultured bacterium. RNAcentral's name for it is "partial 16S ribosomal RNA". It matches the Rfam family "Bacterial small subunit ribosomal RNA", at positions 338 to 795 of the family's 1533-position model. The record is from RNAcentral.
CCUACGGGAGGCUGCAGUGAGGAAUAUUGGUCAAUGGACGAGAGUCUGAACCAGCCAAGUAGCGUGAAGGAUGACUGCCCUAUGGGUUGUAAACUUCUUUUAUAAAGGAAUAAAACGAGGCACGUGUGCCUUUUUGCAUGUACUUUAUGAAUAAGGAUCGGCUAACUCCGUGCCAGCAGCCGCGGUAAUACGGAGGAUCCGAGCGUUAUCCGGAUUUAUUGGGUUUAAAGGGAGCGUAGAUGGGUUGUUAAGUCAGUUGUGAAAGUUUGCGGCUCAACCGGAAAAUUGCAAUUGAUACUGGCAGUCGUGAGUACAGUUGAGGUAGGCGGAAUUCGUGGUGUAGCGGUGAAAUGCUUAGAUAUCACGAAGAACACCGAUUGCGAAGGCAGCUUACUAAACUGUGACUGACAUUGAUGCUCGAAAGUGUGGGUAUCAAACAGGAUUAGAUACCCGUGUAGUC